This 30-nucleotide non-coding RNA is filed under the name Rattus norvegicus (Norway rat). The record is from RNAcentral. Lineage: Eukaryota; Metazoa; Chordata; Mammalia; Rodentia; Muridae.
UGAAAUUGAUAAUAAAUGGAAUAUGUCCUG